GAUGAACGCUGGCGGCGUGCUUAACACAUGCAAGUCGAACGGAAAGGCCCAAGCUUGCUUGGGUACUCGAGUGGCGAACGGGUGAGUAACACGUGGGUGAUCUGCCCUGCACUUCGGGAUAAGCCUGGGAAACUGGGUCUAAUACCGGAUAGGACCACUUCUUGGAUGUUGUGGUGGAAAGUUUUUUCGGUGUGGGAUGAGCUCGCGGCCUAUCAGCUUGUUGGUGGGGUAAUGGCCUACCAAGGCGUCGACGGGUAGCCGGCCUGAGAGGGUGUACGGCCACAUUGGGACUGAGAUACGGCCCAGCCUCCUACGGGAGGCAGCAGUGGGGAAUAUUGCACAAUGGGCGCAAGCCUGAUGCAGCGACGCCGCGUGGGGGAUGACGGCCUUCGGGUUGUAAACUCCUUUCGCUAGGGACGAAGCGUUUUGUGACGGUACCUGGAGAAGAAGCACCGGCUAACUACGUG
RNAcentral lists this ribosomal RNA (467 nucleotides) under uncultured bacterium. Its description in RNAcentral is "partial 16S ribosomal RNA". It matches the Rfam family "Bacterial small subunit ribosomal RNA", at positions 28 to 507 of the family's 1533-position model. The record is from RNAcentral.